This 497-nucleotide ribosomal RNA is filed under the name uncultured bacterium. Its description in RNAcentral is "partial 16S ribosomal RNA". It matches the Rfam family "Bacterial small subunit ribosomal RNA", at positions 28 to 507 of the family's 1533-position model. The record is from RNAcentral.
GAUGAACGCUGGCGGCGUGCCUAAUACAUGCCAGUCGAACGCUGAAGGAAGGAGCUUGCUCUUUCCGGAUGAGUUGCGAACGGGUGAGUAACGCGUAGGUAACCUGCCUGGUAGCGGGGGAUAACUAUGUGAAACGAUAGCUAAUACCGCAUAACAGUAGAUGUUGCAUGAUAUCUACUUAAAAGGUGCAAUUGCACCACUACCAGAUGGACCUGCGUUGUAUUAGCUAGUUGGUGAGGUAACGGCUCACCCAGGCGACGAUACAUAGCCGGCCUGGGAGGGUGGUUGGCCACACUGGGAAUUGGACAAGGGCCAGAAUCCUACGGGGAGGAGCAGGAGGGGAUCUUCGGCAAAUGGCGGAAGGCUGAACGAAGAAAGCCGGGGGAGUGGAGAAGGGUCUCCGGUUGUUAAGCCCCGUUGGUAGGGAAGGAAGAGUGUGAGGGUAGAAAGUUCACGUUGUGACGGUACCUAAAGAGAAAGCGACGGCUAACUACGUG